CCUACGGGAGGCAGCAGUGAGGAAUAUUGGUCAAUGGACGCAAGUCUGAACCAGCCAUGCCGCGUGCAGGAAGACGGCUCUAUGAGUUGUAAACUGCUUUUGUACGAGGGUAAACGCAGAUACGCGUAUCUGUCUGAAAGUAUCGUACGAAUAAGGAUCGGCUAACUCCUUUCCAGCCGCCGCGGUAAUACGGAGGAUUCAAGCGUUAUCCGGAUUUAUUGGGUUUAAAGGGUGCGUAGGCGGUCGGAUAAGUUAGAGGUGAAAUCCCGAGGCUCAACUUCGGAAUUGCCUCUGAUACUGUUCGGCUAGAGAGUAGUUGCGGUAGGCGGAAUGUAUGGUGUAGCGGUGAAAUGCUUAGAGAUCAUACAGAACACCGAUUGCGAAGGCAGCUUACCAAGCUACUUCUGACGUUGAGGCACGAAAGCGUGGGGAGCAAACAGGAUUAGAUACCCUUGUAGUC
Molecule: ribosomal RNA, 460 nt
Filed under: uncultured bacterium
Lineage: Bacteria
Description: partial 16S ribosomal RNA
Rfam family: Bacterial small subunit ribosomal RNA
Source: RNAcentral